AGAGUUUGAUCCUGGCUCAGGAUGAACGCUGGCGGCAUGCCUAAUACAUGCAAGUCGAACGAAGUCUUUAGGAAGCUUGCUUCCAAAGAGACUUAGUGGCGAACGGGUGAGUAACACGUAGGUAACCUGCCCAUGUGCCCGGGAUAACUGCUGGAAACGGUAGCUAAAACCGGAUAGGUAUGAGGGAGGCAUCUUCCUCAUAUUAAAGCACCUUCGGGUGUGAACAUGGAUGGACCUGCGGCGCAUUAGCUGGUUGGUGAGGUAACGGCCCACCAAGGCGAUGAUGCGUAGCCGACCUGAGAGGGUGAACGGCCACAUUGGGACUGAGACACGGCCCAAACUCCUACGGGAGGCAGCAGUAGGGAAUUUUCGUCAAUGGGGGGAACCCUGAACGAGCAAUGCCGCGUGUGUGAAGAAGGUCUUCGGAUCGUAAAGCACUGUUGUAAGUGAAGAACGCCACAUAGAGGAAAUGCUAUGUGGGUGACGGUAGCUUACCAGAAAGCCACGGCUAACUACGUGCCAGCAGCCGCGGUAAUACGUAGGUGGCAAGCGUUAUCCGGAAUCAUUGGGCGUAAAGGGUGCGUAGGUGGCACGAUAAGUCUGAAGUAAAAGGCAACAGCUCAACUGUUGUAUGCUUUGGAAACUGUCGAGCUAGAGUGCAGAAGAGGGCGAUGGAAUUCCAUGUGUAGCGGUAAAAUGCGUAGAUAUAUGGAGGAACACCAGUGGCGAAGGCGGUCGCCUGGUCUGUAACUGACACUGAUGCACGAAAGCGUGGGGAGCAAAUAGGAUUAGAUACCCUAGUAGUCCACGCCGUAAACGAUGAGAACUAAGUGUUGGAGAGAUUCAGUGCUGCAGUUAACGCAAUAAGUUCUCCGCCUGGGGAGUAUGCACGCAAGUGUGAAACUCAAAGGAAUUGACGGGGGCCCGCACAAGCGGUGGAGU
Molecule: ribosomal RNA, 942 nt
Filed under: human gut metagenome
Description: bacterial SSU rRNA
Rfam family: Bacterial small subunit ribosomal RNA
Source: RNAcentral